Oncorhynchus kisutch (coho salmon) is the source of this 57-nucleotide microRNA precursor. NCBI's taxonomy places the organism in Eukaryota, Metazoa, Chordata, Actinopteri, Salmoniformes, Salmonidae. The record is from Ensembl.
UGUAACAGCAUCUCCAUAUGGAAUAGCUCAGGGUUCCAGUGGAGCUGCUGUUAUGGG